CGCUUCUCGGGGCCGCCAGGCUGCCCACCUGUUGGUGCCCUGCGGUGCGGGCUUGGCGGCCCCCGCCCCCUCCCCGCCCGUCCCCGUCCCCGUCCCCGUCCCCGUCCCGGGCUCGGCCAGCGCCGUCCCCCGGGGGCGCGUGCGGGCGGUGCUCCUGGGGCAGGCCGCCUGCAGCACGGCCCGUGCGGGGAUCACCCUGAAACUUCACCCCGCGCUCCCGCCCCGCCGGGCCUGGCCUUCGAGGUCGCGCGGGGCGCCCGGGGCGGCCUCGGUUCCCGUCCGUCCCGGCUCGGCUCCCCCGGGAGGCGCGCCCGGUGCCGCCGCAGCUGCGGCCCUACAGGGCUUGCGGUCGGAGAACUCAGUUUUGAAAGCAAGUUUCUCCGCGGGUCCCCGCCGGGUCUCUUCGCGAGGCAGCCGGGAGGACCCGGUGUCGGUCGCCUCUGACUUGGCGCGCACGGCUGGAGGCGGUUUGGUUCCAGCUGUGGCUGACGUGUGCGGGAGCCGUUGAAAGUUAUUGAGCAGGCUGUUGACUGGGACCAGGGAUAAGCUUUGGGAAACUCCAUCUGGCAUUUAGGCACUGAAUGGACCGGAGAAUAGAACAGAGGAAAAUGCUAACAGAUCUUGGUGAGAGGUAAGCCUCUGAGGUUGGGAACCCGCAGAGAAAGUAGACAUGAGGGAAUGAAUCUAAAGAUUUGGGGAAUGGGUGGGGUUAGGGAGAUGGAGAGGUUCAGGAUUCUCAAGGCUGUGGGGGUGGGCACCCCGGAGAAGGGAGGUUUUGUUGGCACCGGGGGACUGAUGAAAAGAGGACUUGACCUUGGUUAGGUCUGAGAGCGACAGGUGAAUCCAGGUGAAGAGGCUUCCCGAGUGUUAGAGCAGAAGCAGUUGCAAGAGUGUAGGGAGGCAGCAGUAGGAGAAAAGACCUAACUGUUUACCUGCACGGGAGUCAUGCUGGGUGAUGGAUGAUAAAGAAGAUGGAGGAAGUCUCAUCCUGCAGAGGGUUUCCAGGUCAGACACUGCAGGGUAAGCAAUCAGAGAAUUGUAAUAUGUUUAUUAGACAAGACUAGAAGGGAGGAAGUACUGAGGGUUAUAGAAGCAUGAGAAGCAGAAAUUGGUGAAUAGUUUGUAGAGGAGACAGUGUUCAGGCUCCAGGCCCACCUUCCUGUCCUUGCAUCCACGUUUCAGCAGCAGUGUCCUUGAUGAUGCCUCAUUAAUCUUGGCCACCUUCCAGUUAACAUGAGCUCCAGUGGUUUUACCACAC
RNAcentral lists this long non-coding RNA (1258 nucleotides) under Vulpes vulpes (red fox). RNAcentral describes it as "lncRNA (ENSVVUG00000007807.1)". The record is from RNAcentral. Lineage: Eukaryota; Metazoa; Chordata; Mammalia; Carnivora; Canidae.